AGAAAAUAUAAGUUGUACAUGCACUGAGAAACAAAAGCUGAAAGAGAAAACUGUAAAGAGGAGAGAGGUCUAUAAGAGCCUCUUGAAAAGCCGUGUCAGUAAAAGAUUAUAUUCUAGAAAUGGAACUCUGAGGAAGAAGGCUGACAUUGGAAAACAUAAUCCCCAAAGUACGGUUACAUUUGAUACGUGUUCAGCUUCAUUUUGGGAACCACCUAAUGGUUUAAAGACCAGCACCAACUGCAUUGAAAACAUUUUUGAAAAACCACCAACUGAAGAAAUACAGGAAAAUAACACAACGGAUUUGAGAAUAACAGUAAAGGCAUCUCAUGCUAAUGAAAAAAUUGCAUCAGAGGAACACUUCAAUGUACAGGGAGAUGAAAGCUCAGAUCCUUUAUGCAUCAGUUUGGCAACAAAUAAUAUAUAGGAUACCCAGUAAUUACUGUCUCAUUUUAGAUGCUCCAAAUAUUAUAACAAAAGUGGUCUUCAGAUCAAGAGGAACUGUACUUGAGGAACAACUACUGGGGAGCCUAAUCUACACUUGGACCUGAUUUAGAUGAUGAGGUCUGAGACUAUUCUGAUGCCAUCAUGGAUUGAGACUUUGGAGGUCUUGCAGGGAAGGGGGUAGUGAAUUCUGCAUAUGGGAAUGACGUGAAUUGGGGCCAGAGGGCAUACUGUGUUAUACAUUAUUAUCCAAAGAUUGUCACAGUAAUAUUUAAGCUUUCAUCCACUGUGACUUUGCUAGUCCUGCUCAAGAAAGGGAGGGAGUAAAAUUACCCUUCUCUUGGAAGUGGGUAGGCUUAUGAGUGCUUUGACCAAAGCAUAGAGUAGAAGUCAUACCAUGUGAUCUUACAAGGCUAGUUCAAAAACAGUGAUGUAGCUUUCACCUUUUCUGGAACACUUGUACCUGGUGCCUUGGACCAUCAUGCAAGAAAUCCAGAUACCACAUCCAGGUUGUGAGGAAGCCCAAGCCACAUGGGGAGGCCAUGUGUAAGGAGUCCUGUCAACAGUUCCAGACCCCACGCAUUUGAGUUUUCCUUGCUGAAGCCAUGGGUAUUGAUUGUACAGAAACAAGCCAACUCCAUCAUGUUCAUCAUAUACAAAUUCAUAAACUACAGGGUCCAUAAACUUAAUAAAAUAGUUGUUUUAUACUAAGCCUUGAGGUAGUAAGUAGAACAGCUGGAAAACUUCUAAACCACUUAUAAAGAAUCAUUAGACAUUUUGGUGUAUAGUAAGAGUAAAAAGGCCUGGUAGAGUAAAGUAUGAGUUUCAGUGAAAAAGUAUGACAUGUUUUAUCUGCCUAAUGGCUUGCUUAUUCAUUUAUUUGGUUUGGGAUAUUAAAUUCUGUGGCUAUAUGCAUUCUAGAGAGUUGAUGUGCCACUAUGCAUU
Non-coding RNA from Leptonychotes weddellii (Weddell seal), 1386 nucleotides. NCBI's taxonomy places the organism in Eukaryota, Metazoa, Chordata, Mammalia, Carnivora, Phocidae. The record is from RefSeq and is a predicted model, not a curated record.